Molecule: ribosomal RNA, 119 nt
Filed under: Cicer arietinum (chickpea)
Lineage: Eukaryota; Viridiplantae; Streptophyta; Magnoliopsida; Fabales; Fabaceae
Source: RNAcentral
AGGUGCCAUCAUACCAACACUAAUGCAGUGGAUCCCAUCAGAACUCCGUAGUUAAGCGUGCUUGAGCGAGAGUAGUACUAGAAUGGGUGACCUUCUGGGAAGUCGUUGUGUUGCACCUU